GAGUAAGAAGGUUUUCAUUGCUUUCCUAUCAUUUUCGUCAUGUCGGCUAUCGUAGAUUGUCGGCCAUCAAUACAUUGUCAUUCGCCUCCCCAUUGUAGGUAUGAUCCUCGCUGUCAAGCUGCGUGUCCAAGUAAACUAGCACCAGACGCAGGAGGACCAGGGAAGCACUGAUGAGCCGCACUCGUUGGUUUGGAGACCNAAAAAAUAUGCUAAUGCGUAUGUAAUGGUCUACUACUAUUGUAUAUUAAGAAUCGCCAGCGG
Molecule: unclassified non-coding RNA, 261 nt
Filed under: Hevea brasiliensis (rubber tree)
Lineage: Eukaryota; Viridiplantae; Streptophyta; Magnoliopsida; Malpighiales; Euphorbiaceae
Source: RNAcentral